GGCUCCAUAGUUCAACGGAUAGAACGGGGGUUUCCUAAACUUCAGAUCUGGGUUCGAUUCCCGGUGGAGCCA
This 72-nucleotide transfer RNA is filed under the name Verrucomicrobiota bacterium. Its description in RNAcentral is "tRNA-Arg". It matches the Rfam family "tRNA". Rfam says of the family: Transfer RNA (tRNA) molecules are approximately 80 nucleotides in length. Their secondary structure includes four short double-helical elements and three loops (D, anti-codon, and T loops). Further hydrogen bonds mediate the characteristic L-shaped molecular structure. tRNAs have two regions of fundamental functional importance: the anti-codon, which is responsible for specific mRNA codon recognition, and the 3' end, to which the tRNAs corresponding amino acid is attached (by aminoacyl-tRNA synthetases). tRNAs cope with the degeneracy of the genetic code in two manners: having more than one tRNA (with a specific anti-codon) for a particular amino acid; and 'wobble' base-pairing, i.e. permitting non-standard base-pairing at the 3rd anti-codon position. The record is from RNAcentral. Lineage: Bacteria; Pseudomonadati; Verrucomicrobiota. RNAcentral also lists the same sequence under 1 other name.